This 247-nucleotide ribosomal RNA is filed under the name uncultured bacterium. RNAcentral's name for it is "partial 16S ribosomal RNA". It matches the Rfam family "Bacterial small subunit ribosomal RNA", at positions 523 to 769 of the family's 1533-position model. The record is from RNAcentral.
AUACGAAGGGGGCUAGCGUUGUUCGGAAUUACUGGGCGUAAAGCGCAUGUAGGCGGACAUUUAAGUCAGGGGUGAAAUCCCGGGGCUCAACCUCGGAACUGCCUUUGAUACUGGGUGUCUAGAGUGUGGAAGAGGUAAGAGGAAUUCCGAGUGUAGAGGUGAAAUUCGUAGAGAUCGGGAGGAACACCAGUGGCGAAGGCGACUAACUGGACUGUAACUGACGCUGAGGCGCGAAAGUGUGGGGAGC